Molecule: long non-coding RNA, 226 nt
Filed under: Numida meleagris (helmeted guineafowl)
Lineage: Eukaryota; Metazoa; Chordata; Aves; Galliformes; Numididae
Description: lncRNA (ENSNMEG00000013897.1)
Source: RNAcentral
AGCAGCUCUAGGUGUGCUUGAUUCAGCACAGCCAUGAGCAUGGUUUGUGAAGAGGAUACUGGAGAGGCAGAGUGCUGAGCAGGCCUCAGGGAGCAGGGAUGAGCCUGCUUGCUCGUGGGGCUGGAACUGACCUGAGGAAAGCAAAGUGACUGGGGUCAGCGUGGAGCAGAUUACCUUCAGUGUGCAGAGGUAAGGCUUGGCGUAUGCCGUGUGAUGUUGAUCUGGG